UGGGGAAUAUUGGACAAUGGGCGCAAGCCUGAUCCAGCCAUGCCGCGUGUGUGAAGAAGGCCUUCGGGUUGUAAAGCACUUUUGUUGGGGAAGAAAAGCAUCCGGUUAAUACCCGGGUGUCAUGACGGUACCCAAAGAAUAAGCACCGGCUAACUUCGUGCCAGCAGCCGCGGUAAUACGAAGGGUGCAAGCGUUACUCGGAAUUACUGGGCGUAAAGCGUGCGUAGGUGGUCUGUUAAGUCUGAUGUGAAAGCCCCGGGCUCAACCUGGGAAUGGCAUUGGAUACUGGCAGUCUAGAGUGCGGUAGAGGGGUGUGGAAUUCCCGGUGUAGCAGUGAAAUGCGUAGAUAUCGGGAGGAACAUCCGUGGCGAAGGCGACACCCUGGACCAGCACUGACACUGAGGCACGAAAGCGUGGGGAGCAAACAGGAUUAGAUACCCUGGUAGUCCACGCCCUAAACGAUGCGAACUGGAUGUUGGGGAC
Molecule: ribosomal RNA, 483 nt
Filed under: uncultured Pseudomonadota bacterium
Lineage: Bacteria; Pseudomonadati; Pseudomonadota
Description: bacterial SSU rRNA
Rfam family: Bacterial small subunit ribosomal RNA
Source: RNAcentral